RNAcentral lists this ribosomal RNA (1444 nucleotides) under uncultured bacterium. RNAcentral describes it as "bacterial SSU rRNA". It matches the Rfam family "Bacterial small subunit ribosomal RNA". The record is from RNAcentral.
ACGAACGCUGGCGGCGUGCUUAACACAUGCAAGUCGAACGAUGAAGCUGGAGCUUGCUCCGGUGGAUUAGUGGCGAACGGGUGAGUAACACGUGAGAAAUCUGCCCUUGACUCUGGGAUAACUGCGGGAAACUGUAGCUAAUACCGGAUACUUUCCUUGGUGGGCAUCCACUGGGGAAGAAAGAAUUUCGGUCAAGGAUGAUCUCGCGGCCUAUCAGCUUGUUGGUGAGGUAAUGGCUCACCAAGGCGACGACGGGUAGCCGGCCUGAGAGGGUGACCGGCCACACUGGGACUGAGACACGGCCCAGACUCCUACGGGAGGCAGCAGUGGGGAAUAUUGCACAAUGGGCGCAAGCCUGAUGCAGCAACGCCGCGUGAGGGACGAAGGCCUUCGGGUUGUAAACCUCUUUUAGCAGGGAAGAAGCGAAAGUGACGGUACCUGCAGAAAAAGCACCGGCUAACUACGUGCCAGCAGCCGCGGUAAUACGUAGGGUGCAAGCGUUGUCCGGAAUUAUUGGGCGUAAAGAGCUCGUAGGCGGUUUGUCACGUCUGCUGUGAAAUUUCGAGGCUCAACCUCGAACUUGCAGUGGGUACGGGCAGGCUAGAGUGCGGUAGGGGAGAUGGGAAUUCCUGGUGUAGCGGUGGUAUGCGCAGAUAUCAGGAGGAACACCCAAUGGCGAAGGCACAUCUCUGGGCCGUAACUGACGCUGAGGAGCGAAAGCGUGGGGAGCGAACAGGAUUAGAUACCCUGGUAGUCCACGCCGUAAACGGUGGGUGCUAGCUGUGGGCCACAUUCCACGUGGUCCGUGACGAAGUUAACACAUUAAGCACCCCGCCUGGGGAGUACGGCCGCAAGGCUAAAACUCAAAGGAAUUGACGGGGGCCCGCACAAGCGGCGGAGCAUGCGGAUUAAUUCGAUGCAACGCGAAGAACCUUACCAAGGCUUGACAUAUAGAGGAAAAGUGCAGAAAUGUACUCCCCGCAAGGUCUCUAUACAGGUGGUGCAUGGUUGUCGUCAGCUCGUGUCGUGAGAUGUUGGGUUAAGUCCCGCAACGAGCGCAACCCUCGUCCUAUGUUGCCAGCACGUAAUGGUGGGAACUCAUGGGAUACUGCCGGGGUCAACUCGGAGGAAGGUGGGGAUGACGUCAAAUCAUCAUGCCCCUUAUGUCUUGGGCUUCACGCAUGCUACAAUGGCCGGUACAGAGGGCUGCAAUACCGUAAGGUGGAGCGAAUCCCAAAAAGCCGGUCUCAGUUCGGAUUGAGGUCUGCAACUCGACCUCAUGAAGUCGGAGUCGCUAGUAAUCGUAGAUCAGCAACGCUACGGUGAAUACGUUCCCGGGCCUUGUACACACCGCCCGUCAAGUCACGAAAGUCGGUAACACCCGAAGCCGGUGGCCUAACCGUAAGGAAGGAGCCGUCGAAGGUGGGAUUGGUGAUUGGGACUA